GUCAUGGAUACCGGUGUAAACUCAUGAAGGAAAGGAAGUUGCAGAGGUGCAACUGAGGGCAUGAUCUGAAGACACUAGGAUUGCAUGGGUGUAACUAGAUACCCAAUUUGACAGAAGACCUUGGACCUUGGAAGCAGAUCCUGGGCUGAGAAUUUGGUCAGCAAUGUUACUGGAACACAUGUGUGAGAGCUCAAAUCCACCAUCCUCAGCUCACAUGCCAUUUGUGGGUGGAAAUGUACAUGCAUCCAGAAGAGAGAGCCUGAAGUAGAAAACAGCAUUGGAGAAGCUCCAUUGGACCCCGAGCAGGAUCCAGGGAUUAAGUCUUAUUGGGCUAAGCACUGCACAAACAAAAUAUAUGUAGACCGUCCCUGCCCCCAAGAGCUCACAGACUAGGAUUUGGACUACACACAGCAGGUGAACAAGCAGGCUAAUGGAAUGAGUCGAAGGACCAUGGAAGAGCAGAGAUAUAUGCGAUUGCAUGAGUUAGUAAUCUUAUAUAGCACGAUGUGAUGACUGUUAGCAUCACUGUCAGCUGCCCUGGUGAAGGGUCUGGUUAACACCCCGGGACAUUCUUUUUAUUUAUUUAUUUUGUUUUAUUUUUCAGGAAUUUUGAGUAAUUUCAUUGUGUCCAUUUUAUACACCCAGUGGGUGAGGGAAGAGGGUGUUGGGUCCUGCCCCUUGUGGGGGGGGAGGCCCUGGAUGUAUGUGCAGAGCGAGCCUGUGCCAUACUCACCGCACAACAGAGGCUUCUGUCCCAUGGGGUUGGGCCCGGCUACUCGCUCUAGAAGUUUCAACCCGAUGCACAAGGUUGUAGCACUGCCCAGUGCCAGGUCACAACAUCUGGAGCAGGGAGCCAGGCCCAGCUUGGCAGGAAAGGAGCCACCACUAGGGGCUGAGUUUUUUUGUUUUAUGGCAUUUUAUAUGUUGUUUUUCUCUUUUAUUUCAUAUUUGUGAAAAACAUGGACCUCUACAUGUAGGAUAAGAACCUGACUAGAUAGGUGUAUCUAGUGGUUAGUUCAGGAGGACAGGACAGUUUCUAGGUUCGAUUUCCAACUCUUGUUGUGUGACCUUGGGCAAGUCACAUUCCUGUUACCAAUGGCUAAUAGCAAUACC
Molecule: long non-coding RNA, 1113 nt
Organism: Mauremys reevesii (Reeves's turtle)
Lineage: Eukaryota; Metazoa; Chordata; Testudines; Geoemydidae
Exons: 4
Source: RefSeq, a predicted model, not a curated record